GCCGAGGUGACGGAAUGGUAGACGUAGGGGACUUAAAAUUCCCGGAGCGCACGCUCAUGUGGGUUCGACUCCCACCCUCGGCA
RNAcentral lists this transfer RNA (83 nucleotides) under Candidatus Kaiserbacteria bacterium. RNAcentral describes it as "tRNA-Leu". It matches the Rfam family "tRNA". Rfam says of the family: Transfer RNA (tRNA) molecules are approximately 80 nucleotides in length. Their secondary structure includes four short double-helical elements and three loops (D, anti-codon, and T loops). Lineage: Bacteria; Candidatus Kaiseribacteriota. The record is from RNAcentral.